Molecule: ribosomal RNA, 253 nt
Filed under: uncultured Zavarzinella sp.
Lineage: Bacteria; Pseudomonadati; Planctomycetota; Planctomycetia; Gemmatales; Gemmataceae
Description: partial 16S ribosomal RNA
Rfam family: Bacterial small subunit ribosomal RNA
Source: RNAcentral
GACGAACCGUGCGAACGUUGUUCGGAAUCACUGGGCUUAAAGGGCGCGUAGGCGGGUAUUCAAGUCAGGGGUGAAAUCCUCCAGCUUAACUGGAGAACUGCCUUUGAUACUGGAUGUCUCGAGUGAGGUAGGGGCGUGCGGAACUGAUGGUGGAGCGGUGAAAUGUGUUGAUAUCAUCAGGAACUCCGGUGGCGAAAGCGGCGCGCUGGACCUUUACUGACGCUGAUGCGCGAAAGCCAGGGGAGCAAACGGG